UACGUAGGGGGCAAGCGUUGUCCGGAAUCAUUGGGCGUAAAGAGCGUGUAGGCGGCCCGGUAAGUCCGCUGUGAAAGUCCAGGGCUCAACCCUGGGAUGCCGGUGGAUACUGUCGGGCUCGAGUCCGGAAGAGGAGUGUGGAAUUCCUGGUGUAGCGGUGAAAUGCGCAGAUAUCAGGAGGAACACCGGUGGCGAAGGCGGUUCUCUGGGCAUGUCCUGACGCUGAGGAGCGAAAGCGUGGGGAGCGAACAGG
This 253-nucleotide ribosomal RNA is filed under the name uncultured bacterium. RNAcentral's name for it is "partial 16S ribosomal RNA". It matches the Rfam family "Bacterial small subunit ribosomal RNA", at positions 524 to 776 of the family's 1533-position model. The record is from RNAcentral.